This 71-nucleotide non-coding RNA is filed under the name Picrophilus oshimae DSM 9789. Its description in RNAcentral is "Picrophilus torridus (strain ATCC 700027 / DSM 9790 / JCM 10055 / NBRC 100828 / KAW 2/3) Fluoride riboswitch aptamer (crcB RNA motif)". It matches the Rfam family "Fluoride riboswitch aptamer (crcB RNA motif)". The record is from Rfam by way of RNAcentral. Lineage: Archaea; Methanobacteriati; Thermoplasmatota; Thermoplasmata; Thermoplasmatales; Picrophilaceae.
ACGAAAAUGCGGAAUGACACCUCCGCGGGCCAUGCCCAAACCGCCGAAAGGCUGAUGGCGUCUACUCUUGC